RNAcentral lists this transfer RNA (130 nucleotides) under Pseudofrankia inefficax. RNAcentral's name for it is "tRNA-Met (CAT) (tRNA-Met-CAT-2-1)". The record is from RNAcentral. Lineage: Bacteria; Bacillati; Actinomycetota; Actinomycetes; Frankiales; Frankiaceae.
GGGCCGGUUGGCCCCUGAUCUCCCGCCUGGAGCGGCGGGAUGCGCCCACCAUUGGGCGUGAAAGCUGAGACUCAUACUCAAGAUGACGACGGACGGUGUCAGUGGGGGUUCGACUCCCCCUCCCGGCUCA